GAUGAAGAACGCAGCGAAAUGCGAUAAGUAGUGUGAAUUGCAGAAUUCAGCGAAUCAUCGAAUCUUUGAACGCACAUUGCGCCCUUUGGUAUUCCAAAGGGCAUGCCUGUUCGAGCGUCAUUUGUACCCUCAAGCUUUGCUUGGUGUUGGGCGUCUUGUCUCUAGCUUUGCUGGAGACUCGCCUUAAAGUAAUUGGCAGCCGGCCUACUGGUUUCGGAGCGCAGCACAAGUCGCACUCUCUAUCAGCAAAGGUCUAGCAUCCAUUAAGCCUUUUUUUCAACUUUUGACCUCGGAUCAGGUAGGGAUACCCGCUGAACUUAAGCAUAUCAAUAAGCGGAGGA
Molecule: unclassified non-coding RNA, 341 nt
Filed under: soil metagenome
Description: partial contains 5.8S ribosomal RNA, internal transcribed spacer 2, and large subunit ribosomal RNA
Rfam family: 5.8S ribosomal RNA (bases 1-120)
Source: RNAcentral